RNAcentral lists this ribosomal RNA (925 nucleotides) under uncultured bacterium. Its description in RNAcentral is "bacterial SSU rRNA". It matches the Rfam family "Bacterial small subunit ribosomal RNA", at positions 9 to 931 of the family's 1533-position model. The record is from RNAcentral.
GAGUUUGAUCCUGGCUCAGAUUGAACGCUGGCGGUAUGCUUAACACAUGCAAGUCGAACGGUAACAGGCCUUCGGGCGCUGACGAGUGGCGGACGGGUGAGUAACGCGUAGGAAUCUGCCUCAUAGUGGGGGACAACGUGGGGAAACUCACGCUAAUACCGCAUACGCCCUACGGGGGAAAGGAGGGGAUCUUCGGACCUUUCGCUAUGAGAUGAGCCUGCGUUAGGUUAGCUAGUUGGUAGGGUAAAGGCCUACCAAGGCGACGAUCUAUAGCUGGUCUGAGAGGACGAUCAGCCACACUGGGACUGAGACACGGCCCAGACUCCUACGGGAGGCAGCAGUGGGGAAUAUUGGACAAUGGGCGAAAGCCUGAUCCAGCAAUACCGCGUGUGUGAAGAAGGCCUUAGGGUUGUAAAGCACUUUCAAUUGGGAGGAAAACCUGCCGGCCAAUACCCGGUAGCUUGACAUUACCUUUAGAAGAAGCACCGGCUAACUCCGUGCCAGCAGCCGCGGUAAUACGGAGGGUGCGAGCGUUAAUCGGAAUUACUGGGCGUAAAGCGUGCGUAGGCGGUUCGUUAAGUCAGAUGUGAAAGCCCUGGGCUCAACCUGGGAACUGCAUUUGAAACUGGCGGACUAGAGUUUAGUAGAGGGGAGUGGAAUUUCAGGUGUAGCGGUGAAAUGCGUAGAUAUCUGAAGGAACACCAGUGGCGAAGGCGACUCCCUGGACUAGAACUGACGCUGAGGUACGAAAGCGUGGGUAGCAAACAGGAUUAGAUACCCUGGUAGUCCACGCCGUAAACGAUGUCGACUAGCCGUUGGCCCUAUUUACAGGGUUAGUGGCGCAGCUAACGCAUUAAGUCGACCGCCUGGGGAGUACGGCCGCAAGGUUAAAACUCAAAUGAAUUGACGGGGGCCCGCACAAGCG